UGCGUAGGCGGCUUUUUAAGUCGGAUGUGAAAUCCCCGAGCUUAACUUGGGAAUUGCAUUCGAUACUGGGAAGCUAGAGUAUGGGAGAGGAUGGUAGAAUUCCAGGUGUAGCGGUGAAAUGCGUAGAGAUCUGGAGGAACACCAGUGGCGAAGGCGGCUCACUGGCUCGAUACUGACGCUGAGGUGCGAAAGCGUGGGGAGCAAACAGGAUUAGAUACCCCGGUA
Molecule: ribosomal RNA, 225 nt
Filed under: uncultured Acinetobacter sp.
Lineage: Bacteria; Pseudomonadati; Pseudomonadota; Gammaproteobacteria; Moraxellales; Moraxellaceae
Description: partial 16S ribosomal RNA
Rfam family: Bacterial small subunit ribosomal RNA
Source: RNAcentral